This 253-nucleotide ribosomal RNA is filed under the name uncultured bacterium. Its description in RNAcentral is "partial 16S ribosomal RNA". It matches the Rfam family "Bacterial small subunit ribosomal RNA", at positions 524 to 776 of the family's 1533-position model. The record is from RNAcentral.
UACGUAGGGGGCGAGCGUUGUCCGGCCUUACUGGGCGUAAAGAGCACGUAGGCGGCUAUAAAAGUCAGAUGUGAAAAACCUGGGCUCAACCGAGGGUAUGCAUCUGAAACUAAAUAGCUUGAGUCAAGGAGAGGAGAGCGGAAUUCCUGGUGUAGCGGUGAAAUUCGUAGAGAUCAGGAGGAAUACCAGUGGCGAAGGCGGCUCUCUGGACAGAUACUGACGCUGAGGCGCGAAAGCGUGGGAAGCAAACAGG